UGGCGGACGGGUGAGUAAUGCUUGGGAACUUGCCUUUAGGAGGGGGAUAACCACGGGAAACUGUGGCUAAUACCGCAUAAUGUCUACGGACCAAUGCGGGGGCUCUUCGGACCUCGCACCUAAAGAUAGGCCCAAGUGAGAUUAGCUAGUUGGUGGGGUAAAGGCUCACCAAGGCGACGAUCUCUAGCUGUUCUGAGAGGAUGAUCAGCCACACUGGGACUGAGACACGGCCCAGACUCCUACGGGAGGCAGCAGUGGGGAAUAUUGCACAAUGGGGGAAACCCUGAUGCAGCCAUGCCGCGUGUGUGAAGAAGGCCUUCGGGUUGUAAAGCACUUUCAGUGGUGAGGAAGGCUUGUAGGUUAAUAGCCUGCAAGAUUGACGUUAGCCACAGAAGAAGCACCGGCUAACUCCGUGCCAGCAGCCGCGGUAAU
This 432-nucleotide ribosomal RNA is filed under the name uncultured bacterium. RNAcentral describes it as "bacterial SSU rRNA". It matches the Rfam family "Bacterial small subunit ribosomal RNA", at positions 96 to 524 of the family's 1533-position model. The record is from RNAcentral.